Molecule: ribosomal RNA, 459 nt
Filed under: uncultured bacterium
Lineage: Bacteria
Description: partial 16S ribosomal RNA
Rfam family: Bacterial small subunit ribosomal RNA
Source: RNAcentral
CCUACGGGUGGCAGCAGUGAGGAAUAUUGGUCAAUGGACGAGAGUCUGAACCAGCCAAGUCGCGUGAAGGAUGACUGCCCUAUGGGUUGUAAACCUCUUUUAUAAAGGAAUAAAACGAGGCACGUGUGCCUUUUUGUAUGUACUUUAUGAAUAAGGAUCGGCUAACUCCGUGCCAGCAGCCGCGGUAAUACGGAGGAUCCGAGCGUUAUCCGGAUUUAUUGGGUUUAAAGGAGCGUAGAUGGGUUGUUAAGUCAGUUGUGAAAGUUUGCGGCUCAACCAUAAAAUUGCAGUUGAUACUGGGAGUCUUGAGUACAGUUGAGGUAGGCGGAAUUCGUGGUGUAGCGGUGAAAUGCUUAGAUAUCACGAAGAACCCCGAUUGCGAAGGCAGCUUACUAAGCUGUGACUGACACUGAUGCUCGAAAGUGUGGGGAUCAAACAGGAUUAGAUACCCUUGUAGUC